UGGGCUUGACAUCCCACGAACCUGUCUGAAAGGAUGGAGUGCCUUCGGGAGCGUUGGGACAGGUGGUGCAUGGUUGUCGUCAGCUCGUGUCGUGAGAUGUUGGGUUAAGUCCCGCAACGAGCGCAACCCUUGCCCCUAGUUACCGUCGGUUCGGCCGGGGACUCUAGGGGGACUGCCGGUGAUAAACCGGAGGAAGGUGGGGAUGACGUCAGGUCCUCAUGGCCUUUAUGUCCAGGGCUACACACGUGCUACAAUGGGUGGUACAAAGGGCUGCAAAACCGUAAGGUGGAGCCAAUCCCAAAAAGCCGCCCUCAGUUCGGAUUGAAGUCUGCAACUCGACUUCAUGAAGUUGGAAUCGCUAGUAAUCGCGGAUCAGCAUGCUGCGGUGAAUACGUUCCCGGGCCUUGUACACACCGCCCGUCACAUCACGAAAGCUGGCUGUACUCGAAGUCGCUGAGAAUCUC
Molecule: ribosomal RNA, 464 nt
Filed under: uncultured bacterium
Lineage: Bacteria
Description: bacterial SSU rRNA
Rfam family: Bacterial small subunit ribosomal RNA
Source: RNAcentral